RNAcentral lists this ribosomal RNA (372 nucleotides) under uncultured organism. RNAcentral's name for it is "bacterial SSU rRNA". It matches the Rfam family "Bacterial small subunit ribosomal RNA", at positions 526 to 896 of the family's 1533-position model. The record is from RNAcentral.
CGUAGGGUCCAAGCGUUAUCCGGAAUCACUGGGCGUAAAGCGUGCGUAGGUGGCGCGUUAAGUGAGAUGUUAAAACGUGGGGCUCAACCCUGUCGGUGCAUCUCAUACUGGCGUGCUAGAGGACAGCAGAGGCAAGUGGAAUUAGCAGUGUAGCAGUGAAAUGCGUAGAUAUUGCUAGGAACACCAAUGGCGAAGGCAGCUUGCUGGGCUACUCCUGACACUGAGGUACGAAAGCGUGGGGAGCGAACAGGAUUAGAUACCCUGGUAGUCCACGCCGUAAACGAUGCAUACUAGACGUAUGGGGUAUCGACCCCCUGUGCGUCGAAGCUAACGCGAUAAGUAUGCCGCCUGGGAAGUACGGCCGCAAGGCUA